CUCUAAUCACAUAUCUACCGUCCAAAUGUUUCCUCAAUCCAUAUGACUUAUUCUAUCACCGUCCAAAUUUUUAGAUAAAUCCCUUUCUAAGUUAUCUCUCACUUCAUUUUUUUCCCUCGUCUCUCUCUCUCUUUGUUGCUCUCAAAUCUAGCAAAAGGAAAAACCCUAACAACACUGCCGCCAUCUUCACUAACUCACUCACCACCACCACUAAGGAACAUAUUAGAUCUGUUAGAUGCAUAAAUCAAAAACAUAGAAUCAGUCUCAGAAUCCGCCUCCUCUUCAUUCACUCCUUUUUCUGAUUUCUUUUUCUUCCUCACCCAUUCUCAGAUCUGUAACCUCAUCUCCUGUAAAUGGUUUCAGCAACUAUAGAUCGGCUGAUACUCAUUAUUAAUCUUGUGAUUCUUAAUGUUUAUCAUUAAGAAACAAGAUAGAGCUACAGUAUUGAAUUAAGACAUUAUUGUAGCAAUGGCUCCUCUGGGACUCACCAAUAACAGAAGAAUUAUCAGAAGAUUUACAAGCAAUUAGAUGGGGGUUGGAUUCGUAAUGAGGUUUUUUAAAAGAGGGUCAGAAGAGGACUGGAGAAUUUGAUGAGAAAACGGCCUUCAAAAAGGCUAAUGAUCCCCCUCAACAGUUGGUAGAAGCCAAACUGGAGGAACAAACCAGUACAUAGAGGAAUUGUUCAGUUUUUCCCAUUGAGCAAGCUCAUGUGCAACAAAAUUACAAUAAUGAGAAGCAUUUGAAGAGGCUUAAUGCGAUGCUCAAUAAACUUGGAGGCGCAUUUAGCAUACCGGAUUGGAUUCGAUGAGAUUGGAUAACGGUUGAAUGUUGCAAAUCGGAAUCUCGGUAUUGACAAGAUGUGGAAGGCUCCCCAGAAUAAAUAUUUUGUGCCCUGUGUUGAUCAUACUCCUAAGUAUUCAUAAGGAGAUGCAUCAACUGAAUUAUAAUUGCAAGUGUACUCAGUUUUUGUAUUAUUGAGCACUUAGAACUUCUCCAAUGGAACGUGGUAGCAGUUGCGUGUAUUAUAAGCACAACUGGUCUUUUUGGCAAGAUACUAGCUACCGAAGGAACUGGAUACUGCUACCAGAGCAGUUACGCAUUUCAGAAGCUGGUUGGGUAUGGAAUACCACCAAGAUGAGAUAGCUCGCAUGUGGGAUGGUUACCAGGUUAUUCGAGAAGAAAAAUCCGAUUUUAGCCUAGCUAACAAUAAUCUACCUCCGGAUAUUCAUAAGCUUCGUUGUCGUACUCUUUAUAGUGCCCUUCGUUUUUCGCCUCUGAUGGAAGCUAUGUGAAAGGAGAAGGCUGCAUUAGCAGCUCAAAAAUCCCCUUCCGCAUUGAGUGUGAGUUCCGACAUUUGGCCAGUAAACAUGGAAAAAUGCUCAUGAGCAGGCGGGUGCAAGUGUAUCAACGCAAUCUUUUCAAACAUGAAUGGGAUGCUGCAGCGGAAAGAACUUAAUGGUGAAGGUGUUUACAGAAGGACAAGGCCUCUUAGAUACACUGCAGGAAGCGUGCCAAGAAGAAGGCACACAUACCAGAGGAACAGGAGGACUGUCAAUGGUGAGAGCUUAGUAAGUACAAAACCAGAUCCAGGCUCUCAGUUGCUAUCAAUCCCUCGAUGAAAGCCUAGGUUCCGUGUGUCCUUGAUGUCUUAAUAUUUUAGUCAGUUUAUCUUUUCAAUGUACAAUGAAUAUGGAUGUGAGCACACAAAUAUGUUCCUAGUUUUUUGCUGUCUUGGUGGUUAACCAGAAGAGGUGGAUGAAUUUUCAAAAUCAAAUCCAUAUUUAUU
Long non-coding RNA from Papaver somniferum (opium poppy), 1786 nucleotides. RefSeq lists it as uncharacterized. The transcript has 11 exons. The record is from RefSeq and is a predicted model, not a curated record. NCBI's taxonomy places the organism in Eukaryota, Viridiplantae, Streptophyta, Magnoliopsida, Ranunculales, Papaveraceae.